This 774-nucleotide ribosomal RNA is filed under the name Lentithecium fluviatile. RNAcentral describes it as "eukaryotic LSU rRNA". It matches the Rfam family "Eukaryotic large subunit ribosomal RNA", at positions 74 to 858 of the family's 3401-position model. Lineage: Eukaryota; Fungi; Ascomycota; Dothideomycetes; Pleosporales; Lentitheciaceae. The record is from RNAcentral.
AUUGCCCUAGUAACGGCGAGUGAAGCGGCAACAGCUCAAAUUUGAAAUCUGGCCUCCUUCGGGUGGUCCGAGUUGUAAUUUGCAGAGGGUGCUUUGGCGUCGGCAGCGGUCUAAGUUCCUUGGAACAGGACAUCACAGAGGGUGAGAAUCCCGUACGUGGUCGCCUGCCUUCGCCGUGUAAAGCCCCUUCGACGAGUCGAGUUGUUUGGGAAUGCAGCUCUAAAUGGGAGGUAAAUUUCUUCUAAAGCUAAAUACUGGCCAGAGACCGAUAGCGCACAAGUAGAGUGAUCGAAAGAUGAAAAGCACUUUGGAAAGAGAGUCAAACAGCACGUGAAAUUGUUGAAAGGGAAGCGCUUGCCGCCAGACUUGCCCGUAGUUGCUCAUCGGAACUCUUUGCUCCGAGCACUCUUCUGCGGGCAGGCCAGCAUCAGUUUGGGCGACCGGAUAAAGGCCUCUGUCAUGUAUCUUCCUUCGGGAUGACCUUAUAGGGGAGGCGUAAUGCGGCCAGCCCGGACUGAGGUCCGCGCAUCUGCUAGGAUGCUGGCGUAAUGGCUGUAAGCGGCCCGUCUUGAAACACGGACCAAGGAGUCUAACAUCUAUGCGAGUGUUUGGGUGUCAAGCCCGGGCGCGUAAUGAAAGUGAACGGAGGUGGGAACCCUCUUCGGGGGGCGCACCAUCGACCGAUCCUGAUGUCUUCGGAUGGAUUUGAGUAAGAGCAUAGCUGUUGGGACCCGAAAGAUGGUGAACUAUGCUUGAAUAGGGUGAAGCCAGAGG